GACGUAGGUGGCGAGCGUUAUUCGGAAUUACUAGGCGUAAAGCGAGUGUAGGCGGGUGCUUAAGUCCGUAGUGAAAUCUCCCGGCUUAACCGGGAGGGGUCUGCGGAUACUGGGCGUCUUGAGUUGGGUAGGGGGGAUCGGAAUUCCCGGUGUAGCGGUGAAAUGCGCAGAUAUCGGGAAGAACACCAGUGGCGAAGGCGACUACCUGGCCUGUUUCUUGACGCUGAGGCGCGAAAGCUAGGGGAGCAAACGGG
This 254-nucleotide ribosomal RNA is filed under the name uncultured bacterium. Its description in RNAcentral is "partial 16S ribosomal RNA". It matches the Rfam family "Bacterial small subunit ribosomal RNA", at positions 524 to 776 of the family's 1533-position model. The record is from RNAcentral.